GAUGAACGCUGGCGGCGUGCCUAAUACAUGCAAGUCGAGCGAACAGACGAUGAUCUUGCUGUUCUGGAGUGAGCGACGGACGGGUGAGUAGUACGUGAAUUACCUACCUAUAUGACUGGAGUAACUGCGGGAAACCGUAGUAAUUGCCAGGAAAUAGAUGUAGGCGGAGUGGUGGAUAGUUUAGUACCGUUUUGCUGUGACUUCUAGGCCUAUCCGCGUGUCAUUAGGGAGUUGGUACGGUAACGGCUUACCAAGGCAACGAUGCGUAGACGACCUGAGAGGGUGACCGGCCACACUGGAUCUGAGACACGAUUCAGACUCCUACGGGAGCCAGAAGUAGGGAAUCUUCCGCAAUGGGCGAAAGUCUGACGUAGCAGCGCGGCGUGAGUGAUGAAGGUCUUCGGAUCGUAAAACUCUGUUAGUAGGGAAGACCAAAUGUGUAAGUAACUAUGCACGUCUUGACGGUAGCUAAUCAGAAAGCCACGGCUAACUACGUG
Molecule: ribosomal RNA, 497 nt
Filed under: uncultured bacterium
Lineage: Bacteria
Description: partial 16S ribosomal RNA
Rfam family: Bacterial small subunit ribosomal RNA
Source: RNAcentral